GAUACUUAACGUAAAUCAUGAAGGGAAAUUAUGUCUUAUAUCUUUCAAGUUGAUCACAAAUUAGCCUAUCAAUUACCUGCCCGCAGCAAAACAUCCAUUGAACCAAAGUUCCUACAUUGACUUCUAGAAAGAGCAAAUGUGACAAGAUGGAGAGGUGUAUCUGCCCAUUUUGUUCUUCUUUGAAUGUCUGCUCCUUGAUGAAACAAGAAAAAUUACUCAGAACACAUAACAAAUUGAAGAACAAUGCUGUUAAAUAAAAAAACACAUUGUGACACAUCUCUGGCAAUAUUCUUCAGUCAUUUAUGAUGUGUUAACUUACCAUAAGAUAAACAAAAUCGUAGCAAUCUCUCACUACCCGAGAAACAAGCACACUACAAAAAAAAGGGAAUAUUGAUUUGUGAACAUAAAUUAUUUUAGUGUUUUUAAAGUGAGUGAAAUACAUAUGAUAGUGGGUCUAAGACUUGAAUGAACUUUUCUAUUAAUCAUCCAUCAUCUUACCUCGUCAUCCACUGUCUUACCUUGUCAACCUCAGUCUUACCUCAUUAUGUAGUGCCUUACCUAACAAUAUACUGUCUUACCCUGUCAUCUACUGUCAUGCAUUCUAGUGUACUAUCAACUUUUGUCACUCUUUAUCUUCUAAUGUUGUAAUUCACUAUCUUUUAUCAAUAAAAAAUUUAC
This is a long non-coding RNA of Xenia sp. Carnegie-2017, 678 nucleotides long. RefSeq lists it as uncharacterized. The transcript is spliced from 2 exons. Lineage: Eukaryota; Metazoa; Cnidaria; Anthozoa; Malacalcyonacea; Xeniidae. The record is from RefSeq and is a predicted model, not a curated record.